RNAcentral lists this ribosomal RNA (1119 nucleotides) under uncultured bacterium. RNAcentral's name for it is "bacterial SSU rRNA". The stretch from base 132 to 1110 matches the Rfam family "Bacterial small subunit ribosomal RNA". The record is from RNAcentral.
UGAGAGCGGGCCUUUUACCUGAGAGAUUUCAGGUAUUGACCAGUCCUGAAAAUAACCGCCCGUGAUUAUUGGCUCAAGGGAGUGGCUUAUUCCUGAGGCCCCCAGAGUAGAUUGGAAUGCCCUUGGGUCCCUAAGUGCAGGCACAGCCGGUAUCGGAGUCAAGCUUAUCGAAUACUGGGGUAAGCGCGCGUAGGUGUUUUAGUGGAUUGAAAGCCUGGCCCCUAGGACUGCUUCCAAACUAGAUGACUAGAGUACGAAGAGGAGUAGAUCACAGGUUAGCGGUGGAAUGCGUAGAUAUUGGGAAGAAUACCAAUGGCGAAGGCAGCUUCCUGGUCUGUACUGACACUGAGGUGCGAAAGCGUGGGUAGCGAACAGGAUUAGAUACCCUGGUAGUCACGCCGUAAACGAUGACAACUAGCUGUUGGGAGACAAGAUCUCUCAGUGGCGCAGCUAACGCUUAAGUGUCCGCCUGGGGAGUACGGCCGCAAGGUUAAAACUCAAAUGAAUUGACGGGGACCCGCACAAGCGGUGGAGCAUGUGGUUUAAUUCGAUGCAACGCGAAAAACCUUACCUACUCUUGACAUACUUGGAAGCUCUUGUAAUGAGAGUGUGCUUUUAGAGCCAAGAUACAGGUGCUGCAUGGCUGUCGUCAGCUCGUGUCGUGAGAUGUUGGGUUAAGUCCCAUAACGAGCGCAACCCUUACCCUUAUUUGCCAGCGGUUCGGCCGGGAACUAUAAGGGGACUGCCGGUGACAAACCGGAGGAAGGUGAGGACGACGUCAAGUCAUCAUGGCCCUUACGAGUAGGGCUACACACGUGCUACAAUGGGGAAUACAGACGGACGCUAAAGCGUGAGCUGGUGCUAAUCCUAAAAAAUUUCUCGUAGUCCGGAUUGCAGUCUGCAACUCGACUGCAUGAAGUCGGAAUCGCUAGUAAUCGCGAAUCAGCAUGUCGCGGUGAAUACGUUCUCGGGUCUUGUACACACCGCCCGUCACACCAUGGAAGUGUGUUGCACCAGAAGUAGGUAGUCUAACCUUCGGGAAGGCGCUUACCACGGUGUGGUCCAUGACUGGGGUGAAGUCGUAACAAGGUAACCCGGGCGACCGCUCGAGCCAAGGGC